AUCCGUGCUACCUCUGGCGUUCACGCCCUGCUGGGGGAAGGCAAACUUGCAGUCUGUUCAAGUUACUUUUAAAGAAAGUGGUGUCCGGAAGCAGAGGAAGGGAGCUUUUGACCCAACCUGAGACUCCGGCAGUGGAGUUUUCGGAUAGACUAUUCAGGUCAAAACCGGACUUGCAGAGAGAGGAUGAAUGAAAGGAAAAUUAUAAAUAGACGGUGUUCUAAAUCUAGCAUCAUAUUUAAUGAGGAAGCUGAGCGCCGAAGAAUUGAUGCUUUUGACCUGUGGUAUUGGAGAAGACUCUUGAGAGUCCCUUGGACUGCAAGGAGAUCCAACCAGUCCAUUCUAAAGGAGCUCUUGUCACCUAUUUGCUCGGAUGAAGUCAGCUGCCAUGCUCUGAGGAGCCCAGUGGAGAGGCCCAUGGGGUAAGAAGCUGAGGGAAGCCUCAAGCAAAAAACCAGUGAAGAAAUGAGGCCGUCAGCCUAACAGCCUGUGAGGAACUAAAUCCUGCCAGCAAGGCCUUGAAGGAACUUGACAGCAGAUAGUCCGGAGUGGAGCUAUGAGGUGACUGCAUUCUCAGCUGACAGCUUGAUGACAUCUUUGUAGCAGACCCUGAUCCUGGAGAGCCCGACUAGGCCACUGGGACUCCUGAUCACAGGAAAUAUGUGAUAACAAAUGUUUGUUGUUUAAAGCCACUAAGUUUUGGGGUAACUUGUUACACAGCUGCUGCUGCUGCUGCUGAGUCGCUUCAGUCGUGUCCGACUCUGUGCGACCCCAGAGAUGACAGCCCACCAGGCUCCCCCAUCCCUGGGAUUCUCCAGGCAAGAACCCUGGAGUGGGUUGCCAUUUCCUUCUCCAACGCAUGAAAAUGAAAAGUGAAAGUGAAGUCCCUCAGUCGUGUCUGACUCUUCGAGACCCCAUGGACUGCAGCCUACCAGGCUCAUCCAUCCAUGGGAUUUCCCAUACAGCAGUA
Bos taurus (domestic cattle) is the source of this 967-nucleotide long non-coding RNA. The record is from Ensembl. NCBI's taxonomy places the organism in Eukaryota, Metazoa, Chordata, Mammalia, Artiodactyla, Bovidae.